Oncorhynchus gorbuscha (pink salmon) is the source of this 872-nucleotide long non-coding RNA. RefSeq lists it as uncharacterized. The record is from RefSeq and is a predicted model, not a curated record. Lineage: Eukaryota; Metazoa; Chordata; Actinopteri; Salmoniformes; Salmonidae. The transcript has 3 exons.
GAUGAACGAAUUAAUUUGCGUACUACUAAGCUGUUUUUUUUAAACCCACAAUGGCGGAAGGAGGAGAAGAUAUCGAUUUGGUCGAGGAUAUAAUUUAUAACGCCAUUCUCAAGACAAACUUUUCAAGAAAAGUUAGACAUUGUCAGGAGAGGUCGCCCGACGCUACAAAGCCUGUCAGGCGGGAAUGGGGUUCGUUCGCCACUUUCAAAGUUUCAACUACGAGCGCUGUCAAUGGCUCACAGGCUCCGAGAAGCACUGCAAACUGUACUGCUGGGAAUGCCUAUUAUUUGCAAGUGAUGUAUUUGGUGUUUGGAGCCACACUGGCUUUGCAAACUUGAGUUGUCUAACCAAGGCAGCAAUGAGACACGGCUGGGCACUUACAAGUAAUGGUGCUUUUGAAAACUUUUGGGGACACCCGAGUGGAUCUACAGCUCAACGAACAAGCGCUCGGGGCAAUGGGAGCUGCACAAUGAAAAGGGUUAACUUGUGGUUGAAAGGAGAGGACUUGUGUGUUCUUCAGACAGCUCUUUGAACAGUCCAAGCCAGCUGAGAUGUUCAACACUUUGUAGGGAGACGGAUACAGUCGGCUUGGUGGAGAACACGGAGUCUCACCAGCCUCAAUCAGGAUCUUGUUCUCCAAGCCCUGCAGUCUGGGGUGAAGAACAUAUGGCCCUACUGACUUACAAAGCUUCCUCACAUGGGCAGACAGUUUCAGAACUGGCCCCAACUUUGAAUGGUUGAUUCUAUAUGUUUGCUAUAUUCUUUAUUCUAUAUUACAGUACCAGUCGAACAUUUGGACACACCUACUAAUUUAAGGGUUGUUCUUUAUUUGUACUUGUUUUCUACAUUUUAGAAUAAUAGUGAAGACAUCA